GACGAACGCUGGCGGCAUGCCUAAUACAUGCAAGUCGAGCGGACUUGAUGAGAAGCUUGCUUCUCAGAUAGUUAGCGGCGGACGGGUGAGUAACACGUAGGCAACCUGCCCUCAAGCUUGGGACAACUACCGGAAACGGUAGCUAAUACCGAAUACUUGUUUUCUUCGCCUGAAGGGAACUGGAAAGACGGAGCAAUCUGUCACUUGGGGAUGGGCCUGCGGCGCAUUAGCUAGUUGGUGAGGUAACGGCUCACAAAGGCGACGAUGCGUAGCCGACCUGAGAGGGUGAUCGGCCACACUGGGACUGAGACACGGCCCAGACUCCUACGGGAGGCAGCAGUAGGGAAUCUUCCGCAAUGGGCGAAAGCCUGACGGAGCAAUGCCGCGUGAGUGAUGAAGGUUUUCGGAUCGUAAAGCUCUGUUGCCAGGGAAGAACGCUUGGGAGAGUAACUGCUCUCAAGGUGACGGUACCUGAGAAGAAAGCCCCGGCUAACUACGUGCCAGCCGCCGCCGUAA
RNAcentral lists this ribosomal RNA (516 nucleotides) under uncultured bacterium. RNAcentral's name for it is "partial 16S ribosomal RNA". It matches the Rfam family "Bacterial small subunit ribosomal RNA", at positions 28 to 523 of the family's 1533-position model. The record is from RNAcentral.